This 469-nucleotide ribosomal RNA is filed under the name uncultured Desulfuromonas sp. RNAcentral describes it as "bacterial SSU rRNA". It matches the Rfam family "Bacterial small subunit ribosomal RNA", at positions 917 to 1381 of the family's 1533-position model. Lineage: Bacteria; Pseudomonadati; Thermodesulfobacteriota; Desulfuromonadia; Desulfuromonadales; Desulfuromonadaceae. The record is from RNAcentral.
ACGGGGCCGCACAAGCGGUGGAGCAUGUGGUUUAAUUCGACGCAACGCGAAGAACUUACCUGGGUUUGACAUCCCGAUCGUACUCUAUGGAAACAUAGGGGUCAGUUCGGCUGGAUCGGUGACAGGUGCUGCAUGGCUGUCGUCAGCUCGUGUCGUGAGAUGUUGGGUUAAGUCCCGCAACGAGCGCAACCCUUGUCCUUAGUUGCCACCAUUCAGUUGGGCACUCUAAGGAGACUGCCGGUGUAAACCGCGAGGAAGGUGUGGAUGACGUCAAAUCAGCACGGCCCUUACCAUCCAGGGCUACACACGUGUUACAAUGGUCGGUACAGAGGGCAGCUACCAGGCAACUGGAUGCGAAUCUCAAAAACCGGUCUCAGUUCGGAUUGGAGUCUGCAACCCGACUCCAUGAAGCUGGAUUCGCUAGUAAUCGCGCAUCAGCCAUGGCGCGGUGAAUACGUUCCCGGGCCUU